RNAcentral lists this ribosomal RNA (380 nucleotides) under uncultured eukaryote. RNAcentral's name for it is "partial 18S ribosomal RNA". It matches the Rfam family "Eukaryotic small subunit ribosomal RNA", at positions 592 to 976 of the family's 1831-position model. The record is from RNAcentral.
CAAUAGCGUAUAUUAAAGUUGUUGCGGUUAAAACGCUCGUAGUUGGAUUUCUGUUGAGGGCAGCCGGUCCGCACUUCGUGCGUGUAUCUGGUUUGACCUCGGCAUCCUCUCAAAAUACGUUUCUGCGCUUGAUUGCGUGGAGCGGAGUUUGAGACUUUUACUUUGAGGAAAUCAGAGUGUUCACGGCAGGCAAUCGCCUUGAAUAUAUUAGCAUGGAAUAAUAAUAUAGGAUCUUGGUUCUAUUUUGUUGGUUUCUAGAGCUAAGAUAAUGAUUAAUAGGGACAAUUGGGGGCAUUCGUAUUAACGCGUCAGAGGUGGAAUUCUUGGAUUGCGUUACGACGAACUACUGCGAAAGCAUUUGCCAAGGAUGUUUUCAUUGA